GUUGACCUCGAAUCAGGUAGGAAUACCCGCUGAACUUAAGAAU
Molecule: ribosomal RNA, 43 nt
Filed under: Thyronectria sophorae
Lineage: Eukaryota; Fungi; Ascomycota; Sordariomycetes; Hypocreales; Nectriaceae
Description: Neothyronectria sophorae partial 28S ribosomal RNA
Source: RNAcentral